AUAUAGCAGAAUGUUGUCCUUAAUAAUUGUUUCUAUUUUAGAACAAGGCACAGAAGAAGUUAAAAAACUGCUUUUACUUUUAUUGGGUUGUGCAGUUCAGGUAAGUUAAAAUAUUUUUUCAUAUUUUCAUUUUAACAACCUCUUUAUAUAUUUUUAUCAGGCUGUAGUUUCUGAAAGACUUAAGGAUAUUACUCUUUUCCUUAUUCUGAGGCUUAUAAUGACCCUAAAUUUUUGAGGUUUUUUCAGG
Molecule: long non-coding RNA, 247 nt
Filed under: Pan troglodytes (chimpanzee)
Lineage: Eukaryota; Metazoa; Chordata; Mammalia; Primates; Hominidae
Description: long non-coding RNA NONPTRT010477
Source: RNAcentral